Molecule: long non-coding RNA, 1264 nt
Organism: Glycine soja
Lineage: Eukaryota; Viridiplantae; Streptophyta; Magnoliopsida; Fabales; Fabaceae
Exons: 2
Source: RefSeq, a predicted model, not a curated record
ACCUAGGAGUAGAGUAUACAAAAUUGUAAAUGUCGCAAUAUUAGGAUUUGGCAAGCAUAAGACUAUGAAGUGGAUCACUUUCAACUUCCCAGUCAAGAUGAGAGGUUCUGGUAGAGUUUCAAAAACAAACAACGAUAAGGUUAAGCUGAAGAACCUGAAAAAUUCUAAUACUCACAAGCAAAGAACCGUAAUUAUGGAGAAGUUCAGGCCAAGAUCGUGAAGAAAGUGACUUUACUUUCUUUUUGCCAACUUAUGUCAAUUCAAUUGAAGCUUAUAAUAGAAAUUAGCAUCAACAAAAGACAAAUCAGAAAAAAUAAAAAAAAGUGGACAUGAAGAAACAGUUUUAGAUAAUAAUCAUGUUAAUGAUAUUUACUAUAAAAAAAAUAAUUCUUCAAACUUUUCAAUGUUCCCAGGGAGAUAAAUGUGUAAAAACUUUGCGUCCAGUGAACAACCUGAGUUGCCCAAGUGCAAUUAGAGUCCAUUUUAUAUGAAAAACAUAAACACAGCGUAAAAAAUGCUCAUAUACCAGACAAGAUAUUGGCUACAGCCAAGUAAGAAAAGCAGGCCUCGCACAUAAAACUUUAAAAAAAUUAUGAAGCUCUGGCAUCAUUAUUGUUGAAAGAAAGAAAAUUCCUGCCAUGCAUUGUAUUAACUUCUAAAAUCAAGAAAUCAUUUUAUGAAUGUACAUGAAAUUUGUAAAGUCCUUCCUGUUGAUCAGGAAGCAACAGUUUGCUAUCAGUCUAUCCUAAAUUCCAUGAUAAAAUGCAUAUAAUUACCUUUUCAUUCUAAAAGAAGACAAAACAGGGUAUUCAUAAGAAAUUAAAUAGUUCUUUCAUGGUCAGCACACGAAAAUCAUUAUUAAGCCUAAGUAAAAAGGUUUACAGAAGCCUUACUCGCAAAGCCAUCUUUUUAAGUUUAUUCAUUGCAGAGAACUGCUUCAGGCGUGAUAAAACAGCAGAAUCAAGAGGUUUAUCUGGUGCAAUGUUGUCAUCAACAAUCCAAGGGUGACCUGACACAUAAAACCACAUAAGUGCCAUAGCUUUGUACCCUUUCCACUAAUUGUGCAAAUAUUCAUACAAAUCAUGAUAGUUGCUUGCUCAAUAUGAAAGUUAAGUAGACUCACAGAGUACUUGGUGAGCUGUAACCCUUGUUUUUGGAUUCCGAUCAAGCAUUUUUCGAAUUAGAUCUUUGGCACUGUCUGAAAUGCUAGGCCAUGGCUCAGACUGGAAAUCUAGUCUUCCUAGCAAAAUCUGUCGGAAAAUCC